RNAcentral lists this ribosomal RNA (564 nucleotides) under uncultured prokaryote. RNAcentral's name for it is "bacterial SSU rRNA". It matches the Rfam family "Bacterial small subunit ribosomal RNA", at positions 907 to 1482 of the family's 1533-position model. The record is from RNAcentral.
GAAUUGACGGGGGCCCGCACAAGCGGAGGAACAUGUGGUUUAAUUNGAUGAUACGCGAGGANCNUUNNNNNGGCUUAAAUUGCAGUGGAAUAACGUGGAAACAUGUUAGCCUUCGGGCCGCUGUGAAGGUGCUGCAUGGUUGUCGUCAGCUCGUGCCGUGAGGUGUCGGCUUAAGUGCCAUAACGAGCGCAACCCUCAUCGAUAGUUACUAACAGGUUAAGCUGAGGNNUNUAUCGAGACUGCCGACGUAAGUCGUGAGGAAGGUGGGGAUGACGUCAAAUCAGCACGGCCCUUACGUCCAGGGCUACACACGUGUUACAAUGGGGGGUACAAAGGGCAGCUACCUGGCGACAGGAUGCUAAUCUCAAAAACCUCUCUCAGUUCGGAUUGGAGUCUGCAACCCGACUCCAUGAAGCUGGAUUCGCUAGUAAUCGCGCAUCAGCCACGGCGCGGUGAAUACGUUCCCGGGCCUUGUACACACCGCCCGUCAAGCCAUGGGAGCCGGGGGGACCUGAAGUAUGCAACCGUAAGGAGCGUCCUAGGGUAAAACUGGUGACUGGGGCU